UACAGAGGUGGCAAGCGUUGUUCGGAAUUACUGGGCGUAAAGGGCGCGUAGGCGGUCCCGUCAGUCCCUUGUGAAAUCCCCCGGCUCAACUGGGGAACUGCAAGGGAUACAGCGGGGCUUGAGUUCGGGAGAGGGAAGCGGAAUUCCGGGUGGAGCGGUGAAAUGCGUAGAGAUCCGGAGGAACACCGACGGCGUAGGCAGCGCCCUGGACGACACCUGACGCUGAGGCACGAAAGCUGGGGGAGCGAACAGG
Molecule: ribosomal RNA, 253 nt
Filed under: uncultured bacterium
Lineage: Bacteria
Description: partial 16S ribosomal RNA
Rfam family: Bacterial small subunit ribosomal RNA
Source: RNAcentral